Sinocyclocheilus grahami is the source of this 350-nucleotide long non-coding RNA. RefSeq lists it as uncharacterized. The transcript is spliced from 2 exons. The record is from RefSeq and is a predicted model, not a curated record. NCBI's taxonomy places the organism in Eukaryota, Metazoa, Chordata, Actinopteri, Cypriniformes, Cyprinidae.
CAAGCCAAUCAGACCCGGUCAGCCCCCUGUCGCCUCUCCCACCCAUCCCAAUGUCAACCGCUUAGGGGCGGGGCUCUUCCAGAACAACCAAUCAGUGGGCAUCCGUGGUGGAGGCGUAGUCAAACAGUAAAAUAACUCUCGAAUGCUGAAUUUAAGCCCAGUAGCCCCAGCUGAAGCUGAUAUCACCCCAAAAAGCUGAACAGGCAUUCCACAGCACAGGAGGGUUCAAUACUAUACAUAUGAAAAUGAAUAUAAGUAUAUAUAUAUGUGUAUGAAACAUGAAAUACUAUCCCCGUCUGGGCUGUACAGAUGUUCAUCCAUUCUUGUCUCUUAUAUCUUCCCUUUAAAAA